RNAcentral lists this ribosomal RNA (499 nucleotides) under Staphylococcus sp. ARE23_D. RNAcentral describes it as "bacterial SSU rRNA". It matches the Rfam family "Bacterial small subunit ribosomal RNA", at positions 1002 to 1500 of the family's 1533-position model. Lineage: Bacteria; Bacillati; Bacillota; Bacilli; Caryophanales; Staphylococcaceae. The record is from RNAcentral.
AGAGAUAGAAGUUUCCCCUUCGGGGGACAAAGUGACAGGUGGUGCAUGGUUGUCGUCAGCUCGUGUCGUGAGAUGUUGGGUUAAGUCCCGCAACGAGCGCAACCCUUAAGCUUAGUUGCCAUCAUUAAGUUGGGCACUCUAAGUUGACUGCCGGUGACAAACCGGAGGAAGGUGGGGAUGACGUCAAAUCAUCAUGCCCCUUAUGAUUUGGGCUACACACGUGCUACAAUGGACAAUACAAAGGGCAGCGAAACCGCGAGGUCAAGCAAAUCCCAUAAAGUUGUUCUCAGUUCGGAUUGUAGUCUGCAACUCGACUACAUGAAGCUGGAAUCGCUAGUAAUCGUAGAUCAGCAUGCUACGGUGAAUACGUUCCCGGGUCUUGUACACACCGCCCGUCACACCACGAGAGUUUGUAACACCCGAAGCCGGUGGAGUAACCAUUUGGAGCUAGCCGUCGAAGGUGGGACAAAUGAUUGGGGUGAAGUCGUAACAAGUUAAC